AUCACUCCUCCCUCUGUGUUCGAGGGUGGUUACGUGAUUUUGCUGGAAUUGGGUUAUUUUUCUGCUGUUUUCACCCGCUGUGAUCAAUCCAGUGCCAUCGUGCUUCUUGUGAGACCAAGCCUAAGAAUGCGAAGCGGAGAGGCAGGACCAACAUUGAGGCGUAGCCAGGGGCAUGACGAUGGGUCUCUCCGGCUGCGAUCGCUGAAAGGGAAUGGAGGAUAUGAUGGGAAGAAGGGAUAGUAGGGAGAGGGAUAAAUGCAUGUGCUCUGGAAGUAUCGAAGACAAAUUCAGCCAAAAAUAAUUUACUAAGAGGCAUGUAGAUUUUGUUUUGUUUUUUUUUUUUUUCGUUGUUUUUGGUAGUUUCCCUGAUGCGGAGAUAAUGUGGGAGCUGUUGGUAUGGUUGGGCGUAGGUAUGUGACCCUAGAAGAGCUUGAAUAAGUCUAAUAGAAUACGUCGACUUUUAAUUCAACGGACACAGUUUUGCAAGACCCUUUAAAACAAUGCAGGAAUUAAGGAAGUAAGCUCGGAAGAAUGAUUACAUUUCCAAGCAAGAUUGCUUCUUUUUUCCCUUUUUUUUACUUUGUCCAGAUUCCAUCAAAAAAGACUCAGCUCAAGGGACUGAACCCAAAAUAUGUGCCUUGUCUGGAAAUCGAACCCGAGUGCUUUCAGUGUACAGGACAACUCUCCAAUUGAGCCACAUCAGCCAGGACAGACAGGAAUUACAUUCUUGGAGGUGACGGAAGAAGAUUCCUGGGUCUUGGAAGAUGACUCAAAAUAUGCAGGGGAGGAAUAAAAUUGAGGGGUAUUUUUCUUACAGAACACUUAUCUGAUUUGUCUGAUCAAGAAUUCAAAGAUUGAUAUAAUGAGUGAUAAACCUAUGUGACAUUUUAUAAAUGUGGAUAAUCAAAACGGAAUUGGUCAACAAAGAUGACAGCAGUAAAGAAAUAAAAAGUGACAAUACUGGAAGUGAAAUUGGACGUGGUUAUGAUAGCAAAGACAAGAUGAGACCUAGACCUACAUGAAGCUACAGCCAAACCAUGUUUUAAAAGCCUGAUGAAUAUAAAAAACAAGCUAAAGUUGCACUAGGAACAGAAAUCUGCUUAUGGUUGAAAUGGAGCAUUUACUUCUACUCUUCUACUUGAGAUUGAGGACUGUAAUAAAAAACAGAGCCCCUCACUUUCACUAGCAUUCAGGCCAAAGUGGCGAAGUGCUGCACUGAAGAAAAUGGUAAUUACAAGGAAACAAAAAGAACAUUUUACUGCCCGUAAAAGUUGGUUUCGUUGUUUCAGAGUUGGCAUGAAUUCAUUAACCUCAAAUGGUGAAGCUGCAAGUUCAGGUAAGGAUGCUACUGUGAAAUUUGUACCCAGAUUCCAAGAAUGACAAGCAGUCCUGGCUUUGCACAGUAGUACAACACUACUGUGCAAAAAAAACCAAAACUGCAGGAUUUGGAUGGAGCAUAAAUGAGUUAUAGAAGAUGUGGAUGACCAUGGAAAGUUGAUACUGCCUCCAUUCAGGAAGUAGUUCUGAAUAUGCAGCCAGAGGAACUUAAUGAAAUCAAACGUAGUUAUAAGUGAGAAAAGUGGUUGUGUCAUAAAGGAUGAAUGUGUCUCAGGAAGAGAUGCAGAUGGAAAACUUCACGUUAAAGGAACUCAAAUUUUUCUGCCAUUGAAAGUACAAAGGAUAAAAUUGUGGAAGCUGAUCCAGAUUUAGAAAGAAGUAUGACAGUUUGCCAAGGCAUAGAAAUGAUGCUCAUAUACAAAUAAAACAAUGUAAUUUUC
Molossus molossus (Pallas's mastiff bat) is the source of this 1778-nucleotide long non-coding RNA. RefSeq lists it as uncharacterized. The record is from RefSeq and is a predicted model, not a curated record. Lineage: Eukaryota; Metazoa; Chordata; Mammalia; Chiroptera; Molossidae. The transcript is spliced from 5 exons.